Molecule: long non-coding RNA, 436 nt
Organism: Diabrotica virgifera virgifera (western corn rootworm)
Lineage: Eukaryota; Metazoa; Arthropoda; Insecta; Coleoptera; Chrysomelidae
Exons: 2
Source: RefSeq, a predicted model, not a curated record
UACGCAGAAGUGUAUUUAAGGUUAAAAUCGUUUGUUCAAUAACAUGCUUCUGUCAUUAAAUAUGAUAAACAUUACACCUUAUUUAUAUUUACGGUGUUUUCCCAUGAGAGAAUAAUAAAAAAAAGUAGUGAGUAUAUAAGAGCAUCCCAUCGUCUUUUAGAAGUAUAGACUUUUGAAAAGUUCAAGCACAAACAUCAACAUGAAGAUCUUUUUCUUUGUUACUUUCAUCUUCUUCGCUAUUGCAGCUUUGACUUCGGUUAAUGCACAAUUAAACGAAGGAGAUCCUUGUGUACCUGGCUCCGACCCUAAAUGUGGACCAGGAUUAAGAUGCUGUGGAAGGUUCAGAAAAUGUGUUAAAAAUUAGAAGGAAUAACAAACUAAUUGUUAUAUUUUUAAAACUGGCGCUAUCAUUUCUAAAUAAAUCAAAAUAAAAGCA